This 300-nucleotide ribosomal RNA is filed under the name uncultured Paracoccaceae bacterium. RNAcentral describes it as "bacterial SSU rRNA". It matches the Rfam family "Bacterial small subunit ribosomal RNA", at positions 114 to 432 of the family's 1533-position model. Lineage: Bacteria; Pseudomonadati; Pseudomonadota; Alphaproteobacteria; Rhodobacterales; Paracoccaceae. The record is from RNAcentral.
CGCGUGGGAAGUAUACCCAAAGGUACGGAAUAGCCUCUGGAAACGGAGAGUAAUACCGUAUGUGCCCUUCGGGGAAAGAUUUAUCGCCUUUGGAUUAGCCGCGUUGGAUUAGGUAGUUGGUGGGGUAAUGGCCUACCAAGCCGACGAUCCAUAGCUGGUUUGAGAGGAUGAUCAGCAACACUGGGACUGAGACACGGCCCAGACUCCUACGGGAGGCAGCAGUGGGGAAUCUUAGACAAUGGGGGAAACCCUGAUCUAGCCAUGCCGCGUGAGUGAUGAAGGCCUUAGGGUCGUAAAGCU